CGAACGGUAACAGGAAGAAGCUUGCUUCUUUGCUGACGAGUGGCGGACGGGUGAGUAAUGUCUGGGAAACUGCCUGAUGGAGGGGGAUAACUACUGGAAACGGUAGCUAAUACCGCAUAACGUCGCAAGACCAAAGAGGGGGACCUUCGGGCCUCUUGCCAUCGGAUGUGCCCAGAUGGGAUUAGCUAGUAGGUGGGGUAACGGCUCACCUAGGCGACGAUCCCUAGCUGGUCUGAGAGGAUGACCAGCCACACUGGAACUGAGACACGGUCCAGACUCCUACGGGAGGCAGCAGUGGGGAAUAUUGCACAAUGGGCGCAAGCCUGAUGCAGCCAUGCCGCGUGUAUGAAGAAGGCCUUCGGGUUGUAAAGUACUUUCAGCGGGGAGGAAGGGAGUAAAGUUAAUACCUUUACUCAUUGACGUUACCCGCAGAAGAAGCACCGGCUAACUCCGUGCCAGCAGCCGCGGUAAUACGGAGGGUGCAAGCGUUAAUCGGAAUUACUGGGCGUAAAGCGCACGCAGGCGGUUUGUUAAGUCAGAUGUGAAAUCCCCGGGCUCAACCUGGGAACUGCAUCUGAUACUGGCAAGCUUGAGUCUCGUAGAGGGGGGUAGAAUUCCAGGUGUAGCGGUGAAAUGCGUAGAGAUCUGGAGGAAUACCGGUGGCGAAGGCGGCCCCCUGGACGAAGACUGACGCUCAGGUGCGAAAGCGUGAGGAGCAAACAGGAUUAGAUACCCUGGUAGUCCACGCCGUAAACGAUGUCGACU
RNAcentral lists this ribosomal RNA (765 nucleotides) under uncultured bacterium. RNAcentral describes it as "bacterial SSU rRNA". It matches the Rfam family "Bacterial small subunit ribosomal RNA", at positions 63 to 817 of the family's 1533-position model. The record is from RNAcentral.